RNAcentral lists this non-coding RNA (149 nucleotides) under Pseudosulfitobacter pseudonitzschiae. RNAcentral describes it as "Sulfitobacter pseudonitzschiae non-coding RNA". It matches the Rfam family "FMN riboswitch aptamer (RFN element)". Rfam says of the family: The RFN element is a highly conserved domain that is found frequently in the 5'-untranslated regions of prokaryotic mRNAs that encode for flavin mononucleotide (FMN) biosynthesis and transport proteins. This element is a metabolite-dependent riboswitch that directly binds FMN in the absence of proteins. Lineage: Bacteria; Pseudomonadati; Pseudomonadota; Alphaproteobacteria; Rhodobacterales; Roseobacteraceae. The record is from RNAcentral.
GGAUGUUCUCAGGGCGGGGCGCAAUUCCCCACCGGCGGUAUGCGGGCAUGACCCGUAAGCCCGCGAGCGGCGUUUGCAGUGCAGACGUGUCAGCAGAUCCGGUGAGAUGCCGGAGCCGACGGUCAUAGUCCGGAUGAAAGAGAACGUGC